AUCAAGCAGGAGUCUUCAUGCACACCCUACACAGUCCCCAAAGGCAGCCAUUCAAAUCCCACUAUUUAUAUUUUUACUUGUAUAGCAGGCAUCCCGAUAGCCAAGCAGUUAGCAAGAGUGAGACAAUACACUCCACACCAGACUGGAAUAAUUUGAACAAGUCAAAUUGAACGUAACUGUUGAUAUUAGCAAAUGUUAUUCAAUAGUUUUGAAGAAUCAAAUUAUAACCAUACUAUAAUUCAUUAUAAGUUCCUCAUUUAUGUGGUGAAGCUGCUGUUAGAACUGCUCUGAGAUUUAGCAGCACUCACACAGGCACUCCAAAGGCAUACUGAUGUAUCCUCAACCAGCAUGUUGGUGCUGGGCUGAAGCCUCCAGGCCACCUCAUAGCCUCCCCAAGAAAGACAAAGCAUCCUAUCACACUGUAAAACCUGCCUAGGAACGGCUCAAGACGCACGUCUGGAAAAAUGUCAAGGUGUCUGGUGCAAAGGAUUGAUUUUAAUGACGUGCUCGUUGGCUUUUACUUUUUAUUUAUUGUGGCUGUAUGUGCCAAACUAGGAGAUCAAGAGCAAUAACAGCAGCUCAUUAAAUGAGACUUCUGCAGUGGCUUUGUGUGUCUUUUUGGAUUUUUCUUUUAAAUAAAGCAAAUAGUCCCAAAUUCCUUCUGUCUAUAGUCAGUCAGUCUGACCCUUAAGUAACUUAACUGAUGUCCACAAAACAGUGACGCUGUUGGCUGACGCUAAUAGUUUGUGAUGACUCUGAUACCCUUAUUUUUCUAUGCGUAUGCACUUUAGAGACACCCUGAGGUACUCACCAGCUUUCACAGCACGGAAACAGUCACACAAUUAAAAAAUCUGCACUUUCAUGUCAAAUCCUCAAUGAAAAGUAGAAUAAUGACAUUUGAAAACAAUUAUCUUUAAUUUCUCAGCCGCUAUUGUUUUAUGAUUUAUGGAGAGAAGCUGGUAAUUUGUCCAAAGUAAAAAAAAUAAAAUAAAAUAAAAAGAAAUGUGAGAGAAACUUUUUAACAGCUACUGCUGUACAAUUGCAAAGCAUGUUGGUUUUCUUUGUUUAUCAAUUCUCACGAUUUCUCAGUUCUUCGCUCUAGACUUUUCUAACAUUCAUUGUAUUUUGAAUUAUAAUUUUGUAAAGCACCGCUGCAGUAAAUGAAGGUACCUUGAAGAAAUGCCUCAAUAUGUUAACUGACAUUUUUUUUAACAUUGUAAAUUAAGAACAAAACUGUUUCUUACUCAUAGGAAAUGGGCAGAGAUGUCCAGAAAUGUAUAAAUGUAUUUGUCAAUCAACUAUAUUUCCAGUAAAACUAAAGAUUUUGAGAAUUCA
Long non-coding RNA from Astatotilapia calliptera (eastern happy), 1335 nucleotides. The record is from Ensembl. NCBI's taxonomy places the organism in Eukaryota, Metazoa, Chordata, Actinopteri, Cichliformes, Cichlidae.